Molecule: ribosomal RNA, 490 nt
Filed under: uncultured bacterium
Lineage: Bacteria
Description: partial 16S ribosomal RNA
Rfam family: Bacterial small subunit ribosomal RNA
Source: RNAcentral
GAUGAACGCUAGCUACAGGCUUAACACAUGCAAGUCGCGGGGCAGCAUGGGGGUUGCUUGCAAUCCCCGAUGGCGACCGGCGCACGGGUGAGUAACGCGUAUCCAACCUGCCCUUCACCACGGGAUAACCCGGCGAAAGUCGGACUAAUACCGUAUGUUGUCCAUUGACGGCAUCCGAUUUGGACGAAAGGUUUGGCGGUGAAGGAGGGGGAUGCGUCCGAUUAGCUGGACGGCGGGGUGACGGCCCACCGGGGCGACGAUCGGUAGGGGUUCUGAGAGGAAGGUCCCCCACACUGGAACUGAGACACGGUCCAGACUCCUACGGGAGGCAGCAGUGAGGAAUAUUGGUCAAUGGGCGUAAGCCUGAACCAGCCAAGUAGCGUGCAGGAUGACGGCCCUAUGGGCUGUAAACUGCUUUUAUGCGGGGAUAAAGUGGCCCACGUGUGGGUUUUUGCAGGUACCGCAUGAAUAAGGACCGGCUAAUUCCGUG